This is a long non-coding RNA of Aquila chrysaetos chrysaetos, 948 nucleotides long. RefSeq lists it as uncharacterized. Lineage: Eukaryota; Metazoa; Chordata; Aves; Accipitriformes; Accipitridae. The record is from RefSeq and is a predicted model, not a curated record. The transcript is spliced from 2 exons.
GGGGAGGUGACCACAGGUAAAUUCAGUUUCCUGCACGCUGGCGCACACACCACACUGCCUCUCCGGUCCUGACAGAUGCUGCUUGCUAGUCCUGGGUGCUUCGUAGCUAUAUUGAUUACUGCAGUUCAGCAACAGGUGAAGGAAAACACGUUUUCCCAUAAAAACUGAACAGUCUUUCAAAAGAAACCCCCAAAAGCAGGGGCCAGGGAGCGGGAGAAGAGGAUUUUAUUUUUCAAACUUGGGAGUUUGUUUCUCCACAGAAACAGGGCUAUUUUCGGUUAAAACACUGACCUGCAUCCUGAGCGCGACCAGUAUUUAAAAUACAAAAUUAUGUUUUCUCUUCCACCGCUCAAGACGCAAGGAACAGGCCGGCGCUACAGAGAGGCACCGAGAGCUGAACACCCCUCUGCUCCCGAAGCCUCCCGGCUCCGAACGGGGGAUUUCCACCGUCCUCCGGCUCCAGCGGUGCCACUGGCCAGCCCGAGGCGGUGGGGAAGACCGGAGCAAACCCGAAGCCCGCACUAACCGGGUCCUCCCCCUCAUGCCAGCGGCUUCUCCGGCUGAAGGGCGGGUGGUCCCGGCCUGGCUCGGAGGCGCCGCCGCAGCUGCGUUCGGCGGGUUUGAAACGCACGUCAACACCUGAGGACACGGAUUUCAAAGCCCCCACACGCUCGAUGGCUUCCCCAAGUCCGCAGCCUCGGUUGGGUUUCCUUCCCACCACCUAACAGCCCUUCCACAUCAGUCUCAAAGUCAACGCUACUGCUGUCAGUUCAGAGGCUGAAUUGCUUGGUUUUGAGGCUGUAAUUACAGAUUUUAAAAAAGCAUGUUCCUGAGGUGAAAGUAUUCUCAAGAGCUUGCAGAAAUGACUGGUCACUAAAAGCACUAAGUAGAAGACUGGCAGAAGUUCUACCACACUUGCAUUCAGAAAUAAAGAUUUCUUUCCCAGUG